GAUGAACGCUAGCGACAGGCUUAACACAUGCAAGUCGAGGGGCAGCGGGGUUGAAGCUUGCUUCAACUGCCGGCGACCGGCGCACGGGUGAGUAACACGUAUGCAACCUGCCCGUCACAGGGGAAUAACCGGAAGAAAUUCCGACUAAUUCCGCGUAACACUGUUUUUAGGCAUCUGAAGACAGUCAAAGGAGAGAUCCGGUGACGGAUGGGCAUGCGGCGCAUUAGCUAGUCGGCGGGGUAACGGCCCACCGAGGCGACGAUGCGUAGGGGUUCUGAGAGGAAGGUCCCCCACACUGGUACUGAGACACGGACCAG
RNAcentral lists this ribosomal RNA (317 nucleotides) under uncultured bacterium. RNAcentral describes it as "bacterial SSU rRNA". It matches the Rfam family "Bacterial small subunit ribosomal RNA", at positions 28 to 334 of the family's 1533-position model. The record is from RNAcentral.